UAUGAUAAAUCCAAAACGUUU
This 21-nucleotide non-coding RNA is filed under the name Caenorhabditis elegans. The record is from RNAcentral. Lineage: Eukaryota; Metazoa; Nematoda; Chromadorea; Rhabditida; Rhabditidae.